Non-coding RNA from Oleoguttula mirabilis, 132 nucleotides. The record is from the annotation of a GenBank genome assembly. Lineage: Eukaryota; Fungi; Ascomycota; Dothideomycetes; Mycosphaerellales; Teratosphaeriaceae.
GCUGCGAUGUCGGAGUGGUUAACGAGUCAGACUUGAAAUCUGAUGCCUUCGGGCGCGCAGGGUGAGUGCCGAAAGUCAACGCUAUGUCUGCCUCGAUACUAAUAGAAUGCAGUUCGAAUCCUGUUCGCAGCG